RNAcentral lists this ribosomal RNA (468 nucleotides) under uncultured bacterium. RNAcentral's name for it is "partial 16S ribosomal RNA". It matches the Rfam family "Bacterial small subunit ribosomal RNA", at positions 28 to 507 of the family's 1533-position model. The record is from RNAcentral.
GACGAACGCUGGCGGCGUGCUUAACACAUGCAAGUCGAACGGAAAGGCCCUGCUUUUGUGGGGUGCUCGAUUGGCGAACGGGUGAGUAACACGUGAGUAACCUGCCCUUGACUUUGGGAUAACUUCAGGAAACUGGGGCUAAUACCCGGUAUGAUCUCCUGCUGCAUGUUGGGGGUUGGUAAGUUUCGGCGGUUGGGGAUGGACUCGCGGCUUAUCAGCUUGUUGGUGGGGUAGUUGCUUACCAAGGCUUUGACGGGUAGCCGGCCUGAGAGGGUGACCGGCCACAUUGGGACUGAGAUACGGCGCAGACUGCUACGGGAGGCAGCAGUGGGGAAUAUUGCACAAUGGGCGGAAGCCUGAUGCAGCAACGCCGCGUGCGGGAUGACGGCCUUCGGGUUGCAAACCGCUUUCGCCUGUGACGAAGCGUGAGUGACGGUAAUGGGUAAAGAAGCAACGGCUAACUACGUG